Molecule: long non-coding RNA, 13156 nt
Filed under: Vitis vinifera (wine grape)
Lineage: Eukaryota; Viridiplantae; Streptophyta; Magnoliopsida; Vitales; Vitaceae
Description: long non-coding RNA (VVIN_LNC002734)
Source: RNAcentral
AGUGGUCACUAUAAGAGCUUUUAACAUGGUGGACAGAUUCUUCCAAAACUACCUAAAGCUCAUAGACACGGAUGCAAAGCUAUUUUUCUAUUCUAAUGCAGCUAUGGAAUGGCUAGUUUUAAGAAUAGAAGCACUUCAGAAUCUAACUCUUGUCACUGCUGCUCUUCUUCUUGUUCUACUUCCCAAGGGUUAUGUUGCCCCAGGUAUAUGCAGUUGCUUACAACAGUCCUUUCCUUUGUGCUUUUGGAUUUUCAGUGUUAAAUGGUUGCCUUUUUCUUUCUUUUUCUUUUUUUACAGGGCUUGUGGGGCUAUCUCUUUCUUAUGCUCUGGCACUGACAGGCACCCAAGUGAUGCUGUCUCGAUGGUAUUGUAACUUGUCGAAUUAUAUGGUUUCAGUUGAACGGAUCAAACAGUUCAUGCACAUACCAUCUGAGCCUCCUGCAAUUGUGGAUGGAAAGCGACCACCAUCUUCAUGGCCUUCCAAGGGUAGGAUAGAGUUACAAAAUCUCAAGGUAAGGAAGCUAUUAAUCAAGUUCAUCUCUUAAAUGAUGUGUCUCAUAGCAACCUCUUGAAAGAAUGCUCUGGUGACAAUACUUAAAAGCCGACGAUUCUGUCUUCUGGUUGGUUUCAGAUAAAAUACCGCCCAAAUUCUCCACUGGUUCUGAAGGGUAUCACUUGCAUAUUCAAAGAAGGGACUAGAGUAGGGGUCGUUGGAAGGACUGGAAGCGGCAAAACUACACUGAUAAGUGCUCUAUUCCGACUAGUAGAGCCUGAAAGCGGGACAAUCCUGGUAGAUGGACUUGACAUUUGUUCUAUAGGUCUGAAGGAUUUGAGAAUGAAGCUCAGCAUCAUCCCUCAAGAGCCAACUCUUUUCAAGGGUAGCAUUCGAACUAACUUGGAUCCUCUAGGCCUCUACUCUGAGAAUGAAAUAUGGAAGGUGAGCCCUCUCCUUUCCAGUCAUGAUCUCAGUUUCUGAUUUAAGCCAAUGACGAUAAAUUAAUCACAUUAUCUUAUUUGGUUCUUUGUUGCAGGCUCUAGAGAAGUGCCAGCUUAAGGCCACAAUCAGCAGUCUUCCAAACUUGCUAGACUCAUCUGGUGAGUUCAAUUCAGUAAAAAAAAUACCUCAAAAAACUAAAGAUUGACAAUCCCUCAUACUUUAUACUAUCUUUUAAAGUUUGUGCUUGGAUCAAACAGUGAGCGAUGAAGGUGAGAACUGGAGUGCUGGGCAACGCCAGCUCUUCUGCCUUGGACGAGUUCUACUCAAGAGAAACAGAAUCCUUGUUCUAGAUGAAGCCACUGCAUCCAUAGACUCUGCCACUGAUGCAAUUCUGCAGAGAAUUAUCAGGCAGGAAUUCUCAAACUGUACAGUGAUUACAGUAGCUCACAGAGUUCCAACAGUCAUGGACAGUGACAUGGUCAUGGUCCUCUCUUAUGGUAUGAAAUUAUUCCACUCCGCAGAUUUGGGGUACUGGGUUUUGUUGAUAUUGAGCCAGCUUUCAUAAACACUGGUUGGUUUGAUUUUGUAGGGAAGCUUGUGGAGUAUGAUAAGCCUUCAAAUCUUAUGGACACCAACUCCUCUUUUUCAAAGCUUGUAGGUGAGUACUGGUCCAGCAGUAGGAGGAACUCCUAAUUGAGACCUGAAAUUGAAACUAUUUUUUCAAUGAUCUUUUGUUUUCUUCAACAAACAUGAACUGUUUGUUAUAUCAAGCCUAAUGACUAGUGAAUAGAAUUGUUUCUAACAUGAAUGGUUAACAAUUUUUUUUUCUUUUCUUGAUGCUUUCCCAAAACCAAACAUAUCAUUCAACUAAAAUCACUUCCAAACACACCCUAAAAAUAAUCCCAACUGCUGUACACCCACAUGGUAAAUUAAUCAUUCCGAAGAGGCCAAGGUGAUAGCCGCCCACCAUCAUUGAAACCCAUAAGAAUUACCCACCAUUAGUUCUUGUCUUCCAUAUGAACCACUGGCUAAUAACGUUCAAUCAUGGGGUCAUUGUCAAUGUGUAAUAAAUACACCAAAAAUGCAUCCACAAAACUCCAAAUAAUUCAUCCUUUUAUUCUCCUCAACUUUGUCUUCUUCUAUAUCCAACCAUGAACUUCAUUAUUCAAGACAAUGAACCAGAAAACACCAUUCGACCAUCUCUUUUGUUGCAGUCAAUUGAAGCGGUCUCAGAGGCAUAAAGGAUUUGCCCUCUACACCAAUAGCUGCAUGAAAUAAUUGUUGGAAUUUAUAUAGAGGUGAAUGAAAAUUAGGACACAUUUUUUUUCUCUUGGAAGAUGUGUUGUUUCUUAAUAGACACAACUUGUUUUAAAUGUUGUCUCUAGCUUUUUUAAAGACAUGAUCUCUUUCAAAAGAUGUGUUUGGUGUCUUAAGACAACCCUUUAAUGGAUAUGUCUAGUGUUUUAAAGGCACAUCCCUUCUAACAGAUAACAGUUAUCAACAAAAUCUAUAAAUAAGAGUUCCCUUUAUCUUUUCUGAUUCACUCUCUCUUUCAUUCAUUCUUUCCACUGUUUCUCCUUUUUAGUCUCUUAAACUUUCAUUUUUAGCUUCGGGUUUAAUCUUUUUUUUUUCUUACUAAGUUUUUUGGUAUUCAAGAGAGUACAAAUCAUCAAAUGAUUUAUUGUUUCUUAUGAUUUGGAGUGCUUCUAUCAUAAGAAAGUGAUCAUUAUAUCGUGGGAGACAAUUACUUGUACUGUAAGCACUUGAGUAGGGUGAAAUUUGUCUUAAGGACAUAAAGCCAAAUUUUAACCUCAAUCAACUCCAAAAAUCCAUCUAGUCAAUAGUUGGGAAAACAAUAAUUUGUAUAAAUGAAUUAUCUAAACCCUCAUUUGUCAACUUGUUUAGAAGUGAUUAUAGGAAACGUUUUAAUUUUUUUAGCACUUAAAAACAACUCUUUUGAUGAAAAAUUUCAAGUGCUAUAAAUAUUAGAAAUGAUUCUUAUAUAUGAAGAUGCACACUUUUGAUAACCAUAUAUCAUUAAGUAAAAUUUAGAGUUCGUUUGAAAGUGAUUUUGAAAAUACUAAUUUUUUUUAAUUAUCAAAAUUAGAUAUUUGACGAAUUUUUACUAUCUUUUAUCUUUCAACAAUUGAAAAUGUAUAAAUUUAAAUUAUUUUUUUCUUUUUUUUCUUUGCACUUUAUUAUUAUUACAUAAAUUUAAAAAAAAAAAAUCAUAAGUGUCACUACUUUAAUCUUAAUGCACAAAAUUACAAAAAAAAAAAAAGAAAUCCUAAGUAUUACUUUGGUCUUAAUACACAAAAGUACAAAAACAAAAUCCUACACCAUACAAUCCUCCUAACAAAAUACUUAUUCAUACAAGACAUAUUUUGACCUCUUUGUAACCUUCAAUUACAUCAAGAAUCUAAUGAUUCAAAAAAAUUCUAUUCUUAUGUCAAGUCAAAUGACUCUUUUUCGACAAUUGUCUUUUGGACCUGGCCCAAAAAUUAAGAUUUUACCAAUAAAAGUUGCAUAAUUGAUAAGGAGGAAACAAAAUAUGAAGAUACCAAUAUACCAUUCAAAACGAUUUUUUAUCAUAAUAAUUGAGAAACUUAUUGAUCUUAAAAUUUUUUUAAUAAUUAUUCUGAAAAUUUAUUAUUUUUAGAAAACUAAUUUUUUUAAAAAUAUAUUAUAAAAAUAUAUCAUUUAAAAAAAAUAAAUUUGACAUAUUUUUAGUUAUUUUUUAUAUACACAAUUUUAAAAAUAUAUAUUUUCCAAGAUGUUUGAUUUUUAAAUAAUAAUAAUUUAUUUUUAUUUUUAUGGAAAAUUGUGUAUUUUUUUACAAAUUACUAAAUUAUAUUAAAUUUUAUUGAGGUUUGUAAAAUGAAUAAAAUUUAAAUUAAUAUUUUUCUAUUUUUUUAUAGUCAAUAAAUGUUAUUUUUAAAAAAAUAAAAAAUUAAUAUUCUUCUUCUCAAUUUUCACACUUCUUCUAGGUCUUGGACUUAAAUAGUAAACUUAUAUGGAUUAAAACUUAAUUUUUGAAUUCAAUUAGGCACCAAAUGACCUUUCAACGACAGUUUUUCUGUACUUUUUUAAUCAAUCCAACGACAUACAAUUUGUUCUCUUUGUCGCUCAAUGGGAUCACAUCUCCCAAUGCUCUUUUUUUUUAAUUCUUUUUUUCAAAGAAAUGGAUAGGACAUUUUUUUUUUGCCGAGUUUUGGCCCAUUGUAUUACAAAUAAAAUUGAUUUGGCAUAAAUAUAAAUUCUGAAUUGAAUUUAAAAUGACUGUGAGUAUUUAAAAAUUCGAUCGGGUUUGGGACUGAUUUUGAUAUUACCUCACCUUCAUUAUAUGUAUAAUUAUAUACAUAAUAAUUUAAUUUAUUUUUUUAUUCCUUUUUUUUAAUACAUAUAAAAUAAACAUUAUUUUUCUUUUUUAUAAAAAUAAAGAUUAAGUAAGGUAAAGGAAAAAAGAAAUGAUAUAUGAAUAAAUAAUAUAAGAUAAUUUUUUCUCAAAUGAUAUAUAUUUUGAUUGGAUAUAGUUUUAAUACCAUGGUAAGAAAAUUGUACAACCAUACAAUCCUUACUUACCUUCCUUAUGUUUGGUUUAAAAAAAUAUUAGAAAAAAAAAAGAAUGAAAAUAAUUUUCUUUUAUUUGAUUUAAUAUUAAAAAAAUUAAAUAUAAUUAAUAUAUAUAUUUAAAAAAUUAUUUAAUCUUCAUAUAAAAUAGUUAAAAUAAUUUAAAUGAGUUUAAAAUCACGUAUAAAAAUAAUUAAAUAUCUUUAAAUUUAUUUAAUUUAAUUUAUUUUUUUUCCUUUUUUCUUUCAACCCACUUUUACUUCCUCCCAUUUUUCCUUCAAUUUUCCAAAAAGCAAACAUGCCCUUAAAAGGAGAGUCGUGUUUAACUCCAACUCAAAUAGGGUAUUAACACAUUAAAAACAAUUGAGUAAGUCAAAUACUAGCAAAUGUGUUGUUUAAUUUUAUUUUAAACAAAAAAUAUUAUUAAAAAACAAUUUUUUUCAAACAUGAAUACAAAAAUAAGCACUUUUGACUACUUAUUUAAUUUUCACACAUCGAAUCCAUGAAUUCAAUUUUUAUAUUGAGAUCAUUUUUAAAAAUGAAUUCAUUUUGUUUAUGCUAAAAUCAUUUUUUCCAAAGAUAAGUUUCAUAUUAAAUCAUAAAAUGCAUCGUUUAUAACUAUUUUCAAGGAAAUAGGUUUUUUUUUUUUUUUUUUUUUUUUGAAGAAAAAUAUAAAUAAAAAUUAUUGUACCAUGCAAAAAAACCUGUGUUGUUUUCUUGUGAUGGCCCACUAUUGUGACCUUAUAUAGUUGCCUGGAUCAUGUGCGUAUGGCUCUCUAGGCUCAAUGACACGUUUUCUGAGAAUGAGGAAGUUGUUGUGUCGUCUUCAAAUUUUGCACUUUUUUUCUUUCCUUCUGCUCUUACAUUAUUGCAAUACCAACAACAUUUUCGUGGGACCAAUGAAAACAACAUCCACUUCCCCUCCAUGUAUUUAAGACAAAAAAAAAAAAAAAAAUAGUGAUAAGAGCCGUAUGCAACCUGGCACGCCACCGUUUCGAGCAGGCGUGCUAGAAUUUGAAAAAGAUUAAGAGUAUGUUUGACGUUAAUUUUAUUAAAAUAAUACUUUUAUUAUAACACGUUGUAUAAUAAAAGAAACAGAUUUUGGAAGAAACAUCGAUGGAUGAUUCUCUAAUCUUUUAAAAAUUUAUAAAGCAUCUCAUUUUUAUACAAAAUCGCUUUCAACGCUUCUCAAAAUCACUCAAAUGAACGUUAAGAUAUAAAAAAAUGAAACUUGGACGUAAAAUAAUAAAGGAAUAAAAAAUUGAGACUUUGAUAUAAAACAUUGAUAUAAAGUAAAAAGUUUUUGAGUACGUAACGAUGUGUAAGAUUUAAUUUAUUUUAAUGACUAAGAUAUGAUUUGAGAAACUAACGAUAAAUCACAUACUUUAUACUUUGAUCAUAUUUUGAAUCAGAUUGAAAGAAGACAUGUCAUGUGAUGUUGAAAGAAGACAUGUUUUUUUCCCGUGAUGAUGUUUGAAAGAAUCCAAAGAAUUAAAAACGUCUAUCCACAAGUAAUAAACAUGCUAUAGAAAAUAUUAGGUUAAAAAAAACAAUUCAAACACGCAAUAAUAUGAUAUAGGAAAUAUUGAGUCAGUGUGGAAAAGGAUAACCUCCAAGAUAAUUAUAAUUAAAAAUAAUAAUUCAAAAAUCACAAAAAUGGUGCAAUUAAAAUUUAUUUAAAGCCAUAGGGGUGAUCCAGUAAUAAAACAUAAUAUAAUAUCUUCUUAUGUACUACAGAGGAGUACAAUCGAAAUAUUGAGUCAAUGUGGAAAAGGAUAAGUUCCAAGAUAAUUAUAAUUACAAAUAAUAUUUCAAAAAUCACAAAAAUGGUGCAAGUAAAAUUUAUUUAAAGCCUUAGGGGUGAUCCAGUAAUAAAACAUAAUAUAAUAUCUUCUUAUGUACUACAGAGGAGUAGUAUAAUCGAAAUAUUGAGUCAAUGUGGAAAAGGAUAAGUUCCAAGAUAAUUAUAAUUAAAAAUAAUAUUUCAAAAAUCACAAAAAUAGUGUGAGUGAAAUUUAUUUAAAGCCUUAGGAUGAUCUAGUAAUAAAACAUAAUAUAAUAUCUUCUUAUGUACUACAGAGGAGUACAAUCGAUUUAUCAAAUAACAUGCACUUAGGAUGAUCCCUCGAUAAAAUUUUGGGACCUUCAUAUGAAACAUAAUAGAUGAGCAAUAACAAUGAUUUUUCCUUAUGGCAACUCCAUUCCAUUGCGAUGUAUAAACUCAUAUAAAUUGAUAGACAAUUCCAUUUUCAAUACUAGAAGAAGAACAAGAAGGAUCAUUAUAUUUCAGGAUAUUACCAAAUUGAAGAAUACUAAUUGAAAUGCCUAAUGACAUUUAUUUCUUGAUAAAAAAAAGUUUAAAUAUAAAAAGCUUUUAAGACAUUUAUUUAAUCAAAAAUUUCCAAGUGACUCAGAGAACAAAAAAAAAAAAAAAAACUAAAUGUAGAUCAAUGUGUUGAAGAUGAGCAUAAACAUUAUUGAGAGAUUAUAACUUCUCAUAAACAAGUAUACCAUGUUUGACCUUAACAUAUCCAAAAUCGUGGCUAGAAAGAAAUUUAGUAACCUUCAUACACUUGAUUAAUCUUGAUUUUUUUUUUUUUUUGAGAGUAUGUGUUGUGUUUUGCAAUUUCUAAAAACAUGAAGCUACUAAUAUAAGGUAUCAUAGUGUUCCACAACUAUGUUAUUACCAUUUAUCAAAACUUUUAGAUUCUCGAGGAGAAAGAUUUUAUAGGAAAUGUUUUAGUUUUCCUUUUGUCCCAAUAUACACCGUUACGACUUUAGCACAUAAUAAAUUAUUAGGUCCCUUUAACUUUACUGAAAUAAUCAAAAUAUCAAUACUAAUUCCAAAUUUAUGAUCGUUACUAGAUGUCUUCCUUGCCUUUAAAAUAAGGACUAUUUCACUUAAAAUUGAAACAAAUGGAUGUUAGGAAGCCUUUUAGUACUAAUAUAAACUCGCACUAUAUUUGCAUCACAAAAUAAAACCAAUCACAUAAGUAUUAAUAUCGGAGAUCACUAUAGUAAAAUCAUUGUUAGUACAAUAUUAUAACAAAAUCACUAUUUGUACUAAAAAAAUAUUUUUUCAAAGCAAAUUUAUCUUCUAAAGAACAAUUUCUAAACAGGGUUUGAACCUUUUUCAAGAAGAAAUUAGUUAAAGGGUUCUAAUGAACAGGACUUGGGAAAGAUAAGUAUCAUAUAUAGAGAUGUUUGUGCUUAAGAAUAAUAAAAUCCCCAUAUUUGGAAAACAACCUUUACUUCGAUAUUUUAUUUUAUAUAUAUAUAUAUUUUCUUUUGAAAGUGUUUGGAUGUGAAAUGGAAAUAAAAAAAAUUAAGGAGGGGUAUUUUUAUCUGAGAGAAGUUAUAUAUAGUAGUCACAAAAGGCAGGUCAUUCUUUAUAUAAAUAUUGCCAGCUUCAACCGUAUGACAUUAGUAGUACAUAAUUUUCCAUAAUGGGUGGACCUGUGAUGCAAAAGUAGCCAGACAAUCAAAGAGAACCCAGAAACCAAAGUAGAAAAUAAUGCCAGGAAAAAGAAGCAAAGGCUGGUGUGUGACAGAGAUUAGUGGGACCUUCAUCAUUCGAUUAGCUGCCUUUGAGCUCCUCCAUAUCCAUGUACAUGUCACUCAGUUUCCUCCACACCCAAGCUCACCUAUUCUUCAAUAUUGGCUUCCUUGGAUAGCUCAUUGGGUAAAUCCCUUUUCACCUCUCUAGGUGUUUGAUUUUUUUUUUCCUUUUUUGUUAAUGAUUGUUCACCCAUUUGUGGACCCUGAAUGGCUUCAUGCAUCUUCUUCUUCUUCUUCUUCUUUGAUGACUGGUUCAAUUUGUUUGUUGCUACUUUGUGGGUAUUUGUUUAGUGGGUCUUUGAGCAUUUAGUGAGUGUUAAUGUACAAUGGACAAGAACUACAGAACACCAUUCAUGGGCAUUCUCUGGGUUGCUUUCUUUUUGGCAUUUUGUUUUCUCUCAUGUCUUUGUAUAUAUGUUUGUAUAUUCCAUUUUGCUACCUGUUUUCUUCCAAUUUUUUUUAGACACUUUUUUGGAAGUGUUAUGUUUGUGAUUUGUUUACAUUUGGAAGUAUAGUUUGAUUAUUUAUUUUUUAUUGUUAACUCUUUUUUUUUUUAAUUUUAAAAGGAGUAUAAAAGAAUAAAUGCAUGUGAUGAGAUAGCAUAGCGUGUGGACAAAGCAGUACCAUAAAAUUUGAAUUCUAUGGAGAAGCAGCCAUGAGAUGAAACUGGACCCACAAGUCCAAAGUGAAAAAAAAUGACCUCCAGUGGCCUCAUUCAUGACUGCUGAGGUAGAACUGAAGUGGACUUAGUGCUUCUGAACUCUUACAUAUACUUAUAUGCUGCUCAGUUUCCUCCACAAGUAAGCUGAGAUAUCCUCCAUCAAUGGCUUUCUUGAAGAACUCAUUCAGUAUCUUCUAUUUUCCUUCUUUUAAUGUCUUUGAAAUCCUCUCUUUGUAUUGUCUCUUAGCUUGCCUGUGCCCCUGAAUCUUAUUUAUUUGAUGACUAGUUCAAACUCUUUCUCUCUUUGUUGUUUGAAAUACUUGGUGUGUGUUGAAAGUACAAUGGACAAAAACUAUGGAGGACGUUUAAUAGACUUCCAUUUUGUUUUUUUGUUCUUCCUUUUUGCCUUUCGAUUCACCAGGUUGUACUUUGUUUUCUCUCAUGUGUGUGUAUGAACUUAUCUGUGAAUCCCAUCAGCUCUUCUGGUCAUCUGUUCUGGUCCUGCUUGUUUUCUUGUGUAUGUUUUUCUGAUGUUAUGAUUCUGAUUUGUUUUUGUCUAAUGGAUGUACAGGCGGGCUCUCUUGGAUGUGUGGAGAAGAACUUGAUAUGGGCUCCUUUUGCAUUCAAAGAAGUAUAUUAGAUGUCCUGAAUCUGCUGUUUCUCUCUGUUUUCUGUGUGCUUUUGGUUAUAGGCUCUAUUAGAAAACAUGAGAUCAGUCGGUGCAGCAGGAGGGACUGGGUCUCUAGGGGUGUUUCAAUCUGUUGUGCUCUUAUUAGCAUUGGAUAUCUCAGUGCUGGUUUUUGGGAUCUAUACGCGAAAAAUGAAGGGCCUAGGCUUUCGAGUUGGCCAGUUUACUUUGUUAGAGGGCUAAUUUGGAUCUCUUUGACAGUGUCAUUGCUUGUUCAAAGAUCCAAGUGGACAAGAAUUCUUAGUUCUAUCUGGUGGAUGUCCUUCUUCUUAUUGGUUUCAGCUCUAAAUAUCGAAAUUAUAGUAGAGACACAUAGUAUUCAAAUCUUUGUCAUGGUGCCAUGGCUCGUGAACUUCUUACUUCUCUUUUGUGCUUUUAGGAACAUCUGUCCCUCUCUUUCUCUAGAGGCCUCAGAUAAGAGUGUAUCUGAACCUCUAUUAGCCAAAAACCCUGUGAAAAGCUCAAUAGAUUUCAGCAAGAGUAGCUUCAUCAGCAAGUUGACCUUUUCUUGGAUUAAUCCAUUACUCCGCUUGGGUUACUCAAAACCAUUAGUUCUAGAAGAUAUUCCUUCUCUAACACCGGAGGACGAGGCUGAAUUGGCCUACAAAAACUUUGCUCAUGCAUGGGAACUUCUUCAAAGAGAGAAAAACUCAACCAACACUAGUAAUUUGGUUCUUAGAGCCCUGGCCAAAGUUUACUGGAAAGAAACGGUUUUUGUAGCGAUUUGUGCGCUCCUUAGGACGAUUUCUGUAGUAGUUUCUCCUUUGUUACUCUAUGCUUUUGUGAAUUAUUCAAAUCGCAAGGAGGAAAAUUUGUCUGAAGGCCUUUUCUUAGUGGGGUGUUUGGUUAUUGCCAAGGUGGUGGAAUCUGUGUCUCAAAGGCAUUGGUUCCUUGAUUCAAGAAGGUCUGGGAUGAGGAUGAGAUCAGCUUUAAUGGUGGCUGUAUACCAGAAGCAGCUCAAGCUUUCAAGUUUGGGAAGGAGAAGGCACUCAGCUGGGGAGAUUGUGAACUAUAUAGUGGUCGAUGCUUAUCGAAUGGCGGAAUUUCUUUGGUGGUUCCACUCAAUGUGGAGUUACAUGUUGCAACUUUUUCUAUCCAUUGGAGUCCUUUUUGUGGUUGUGGGACUUGGAGCUCUUUCAGGCUUAGUCCCUCUUUUCAUAUGUGGAUUUCUUAAUGUGCCAUUUGCAAAGAUACUGAAAACCUGCCAAACCGAACUCAUGAUGGCUCAAGAUCGGCGACUCAGAUCUACUUCAGAGAUCCUUAACAGUAUGAAAGUCAUCAAGUUACAGUCAUGGGAAGAUAAAUUCAAGAACUUGAUUGAAUCCCUCCGAGAAGUUGAAUUCAAAUGGUUGGCUGAAGCACAGUACAAGAAGUGUUAUAAUACUGUACUGUAUUGGUUAUCUCCAACCAUCAUCUCUUCGGUUAUCUUUGUGGGAUGUGCUCUUUUAGGUGCCCCAUUAAAUGCCAGCACCAUAUUCACCAUUCUUGCAGCACUGAGGUGCAUGGGAGAGCCUGUCAGAAUGAUACCUGAGGCUUUAUCUGCUUUGAUCCAAGUCAAGGUCUCCUUUGAUCGGCUCAAUGCCUUUUUGCUGGAUGAUGAGCUCAAAAGUGAGGAAAUAAGGCACGUUACAUGGCCAAAUUCAGGUCACAGUGUCAAAAUAAAUGCAGGUAAGUUCAGUUGGGAACCAGAGUCAGCCAUUCUAACCCUCAGAGAAGUAAAUUUGACAGUACAACGGGGGCAUAAAAUAGCGAUUUGCGGACCAGUUGGGGCAGGGAAAUCAUCACUCUUGCAUGCUAUACUUGGAGAGAUACCAAAAAUUUCAGGAACUGUGAGUUGCAAAACCAUUUAGUAUCAUAGAUCAUUUACAAAUUUGAUUUGCUAAUUUUUUUUUCCCUUCUGCUGGUUGCAAACAGGUUGAUGUAUUUGGUUCCAUUGCCUAUGUUUCUCAAACUUCUUGGAUCCAAAGUGGGACGAUUCGUGACAACAUUCUCUACGGAAAACCAAUGGAUACAACCAAAUAUGAGAAAGCCAUAAAAGCAUGUGCCUUAGAUAAGGAUAUAAACAGUUUUGACCAUGGUGAUGAAACAGAAAUCGGUCACAGAGGGCUUAAUAUGAGUGGAGGACAGAAGCAGAGGAUGCAACUUGCUCGAGCUGUCUAUAAUGAUGCCGAUAUCUACCUCCUGGAUGACCCUUUUAGUGCAGUAGAUGCACAUACAGCUGCAAUUCUUUUCAAUGUAAGAUUGAAUAUGUUAGCCUGCAGAUAAAUUUGCAUAUGGAAACUUCAACUGAAUUUCAAUUACACAACUGCAGGAAUGCGUCAUGGCUGCUCUUGCUCAUAAAACCGUCAUUCUAGUGACUCAUCAAGUGGAGUUUCUCUCUGAAGUUGAUAAAAUUCUGGUAAUAAGGCUUACUCUGAAAGCAAUAAAUAUUUCCUUGUAUAUAUGAUUAUGAGAACAAAAAUUAUCUGCCUUCUGCAUUUCUAGGUUAUGGAAGCUGGACAGAUAACUCAAUCAGGAAGCUAUGAGGAGCUCUUGACAUCAGGGACAGCAUUUGAGCAGCUUGUAAAUGCACAUAAGAAUGCAGUAACAGUAUUGGAAUUUUCAAAUGAUGAACAAGUAGAACCUCAAAAAUUGGAUCAGAAUCUGCUAGAGAAGUCCCAUGGAUCUCUCUUCACCAAAGAAAACAGUGAAGGGGAGAUUUCUAUGAAGGGUCUGCCUGGGGUUCAGCUCACUGAAGAAGAAGAGACAGAGAUUGGUGAUGUUGGGUGGAAGCCAUUCUUGGAUUAUCUCCUUGUCUCAAAUGGAAUGCUCCUGAUGUCUUUAGGCAUAAUAACUCAGUCUGGUUUUAUUGCCCUUCAGGCAGCUUCUACUUAUUGGCUAGCACUAGGCAUUCGGAUUCCUAACAUCAGCAACACCUUGCUAAUUGGAGUUUAUACUGCAAUUUCAACACUCAGUGCUGUAUUUGUGUAUUUCAGGUCUUUCUGUGCCGCCCGUCUAGGAUUAAAAGCUUCUAAAGCCUUUUUUGCAGGCUUUACCAAUUCCAUUUUCAAUGCUCCAAUGCUCUUCUUUGACUCUACCCCAGUUGGGCGUAUUUUGACCCGAGUAAGAUUAUCUUCUUUUCUUUCAGAAUAACCUCAGGAACCAUACUCUUUUAUGUGCCUGCUGAAGUUCAAUCUUGCAGGCUUCUUCAGAUUUCAGUGUUGUGGAUUUCGAUAUACCUUUCUCCAUUAUCUUUGUGGUAGCAGCUGGUCUCGAACUUAUAACAACCAUUGGAAUUAUGGCCUCAGUCACAUGGCAAGUUCUCUUUGUAGCCAUUUUUGCUAUGGUUACUGCAAACUAUGUUCAGGUAGAUACUAUUUUUUAGCAUACGUGCUUUGAUCUCUCUAUUCUUCUUUGCUAAUAGACACACAAAAAUCUGAUUAUUAUCUCGUUUUCCUUUUGACUAAAAGGGGUAUUAUUUAGCCUCUGCAAGAGAGCUAAUAAGGAUCAAUGGAACGACAAAAGCUCCUGUUAUGAAUUAUGCAGCUGAGACAUCACUUGGAGUGGUCACUAUAAGGGCCUUUAAAAUGGUGGACAGGUUCUUCCAAAACUACCUAGAGCUCAUAGACACGGAUGCAAAGCUGUUCUUCUAUUCUAAUGCAGCCAUUGAAUGGCUAGUUUUAAGAAUAGAAAUGCUCCAGAAUCUGACUUUAGUCACUGCUGCUCUUCUCCUUGUUCUACUUCCCAAGGGUGUUGUAGUUCC